This is a long non-coding RNA of Seriola aureovittata, 1265 nucleotides long. RefSeq lists it as uncharacterized. The transcript is spliced from 5 exons. The record is from RefSeq and is a predicted model, not a curated record. Lineage: Eukaryota; Metazoa; Chordata; Actinopteri; Carangiformes; Carangidae.
CCUCCAAACAUACCUCAGGUUGGACCCUCCUGUUCCUGCCCCAGCAGCAGCCGUGGAGGAGGCUAAAACCACAGCAAGCAGAUCUGCAGAUUCCCAUCCCUGGAAUGAGACCCGACCCAGGGCCCCAUGUCUGGCUCUGCUCGCCCCACAGAACGUCACUGUUGCUUCAAUGAAGCUGAUCAGAUGAAAUAACUGGCUCACUUGGGAGAUAGCUGAGGCAGGUGUGGUGUAAAAUUUGAACCAGGCUCUAGCCCCUAUCAUGUGAAGUGUGGACGUUGACCCGAAUGCCCCAGACUGUGCCCUGCCAGGUCUGAGAACCUGAGGAUGGAGACGACGCGCUCAGGCAGCCAGACCUGCAUCUUUGAACAUAUUCAAUACCCGCCUGUAUCCCACCACCCUGUCGUCUCAGACCUUUUGCCUGUCACCUUGGGCCAACAGGAGUGAUGUGCAGCUUUGUCACCGAGGUAAGGUGCUCACGUGCGUUCUUUUGCGCGCGUGCAUGUGCCCGAGAGAGGAGAGAGGGACUGAGGGAGAGAGCGCCGGACAAAGGGAAGUACCCCACUGAGAUAUAUGUUUACCACAUACUGUAGGUCACAGUAACGUUGUACUUACCAUCCUGUCACUGCACAAUAUGGAAUGAAAACUUCUCGACCUGGAUGCUUCAAAAGAUACAUUAUACUCAAGACAAGGUUAAUAUGUAGAAACUGUAAAAGUAAAUGUUAAUUUGAAAAAUGUUAAAGUACCCGGAAAUAAGAGUAAGUGAUAUAUAAUUAAUGUUACUGGGUGGAAGGGGUUUGCCACCUAUUGCUGGGUUGAUUGAGUUUAAGUGAUGGAAAAUGGUAUAUAUAUGGUGUGUAUGUGGGAAAAAAUGAAGCAUGAAAAGACUGAUUUAAAAUUAUACAUUAGUUCUUUCAGCCUGUGAUUUGUGGAUUAAAAACUGAAUAUGAGAUUGGAAAGCCCUCAGGCAAAAGGAUACAGCAUGAAUCUUUUAUGAGGGAUUUGUCUCUGGAUUGUGAAAUAAAACUCUGCUUUAUCUCCCUAAAGUCCAAACAGAGCUUUCCUAAUGACCCAGACUAUACUACUGCACUGAGAGCUCUCUCUCCCAGUAGAGAGACAUAGGCAAAGUCUGGCUCCAUUAUCAUCUCUAACUGAUGUACAGUAGGAAUACAAACUUUAGACCCCAAACCUAAAACAUACCAGAGUCAAGUAUGUUUCUUUAUAAAUCACAUAACUGAAGAUUAAUAUCAAACUCAAGAAUUCUUCUU